GUUACUCUCACGCGCCAGUCUGGGUUCAGAUCAGUUCUGUUCUCUGGUCUCCCGAGGCCCUGGGUUUAUGGGGUCCCCCAGACAGAAGCUUCCCCGCCCCCAGCGGGUCUCCACUGAAUCAGCGGCAGGAGUCCUGGAUGAUCCCCCGGUCGUGCGGCCCCUCCCCCUCCUUCCCGACAUGGGCAGCAGCGAUCGCAGACUCUAGGGGAGGGAGCGAUGUUCUCUCCUACCGUUCCAGCCCUCCGAGGCCUUCUGCAAGGUUUAUGAUCUCCGCCUUCUUGCUCGCUGCGGGGCGACAUGGAGAGAAGACACAGGGGACAAGGAGCGUUUCUUUUUCUUCUGUGAAGAUCACAUCUCAAGCCACUACAAACAGCAAGUUUAGGAAUAGAGAUUGCAGAAAUUAUUCAUCAUCUUACUGUCCCUGUAUUUCCAAGUGACACUAAUUUAAUAAAGUCACUUAAAUAUCUAAGCUAAAAAACUUAAUGUUUACAUUGGCA
This 497-nucleotide long non-coding RNA is filed under the name Equus caballus (horse). Its description in RNAcentral is "lncRNA (ENSECAG00000048616.1)". Lineage: Eukaryota; Metazoa; Chordata; Mammalia; Perissodactyla; Equidae. The record is from RNAcentral.